RNAcentral lists this ribosomal RNA (468 nucleotides) under uncultured bacterium. Its description in RNAcentral is "partial 16S ribosomal RNA". It matches the Rfam family "Bacterial small subunit ribosomal RNA", at positions 28 to 507 of the family's 1533-position model. The record is from RNAcentral.
GACGAACGCUGGCGGCGUGCUUAACACAUGCAAGUCGAACGGAAAGGCCCUGCUUUUGUGGGGUGCUCGAGUGGCGAACGGGUGAGUAACACGUGAGUAACCUUCCCUUGACUUUGGGAUAACUUCAGGAAACUGGGGCUAAUACCGGAUAGGAGCUCCUGCUGCAUGGUGGGGGUUGGAAAGUUUCGGCGGUUGGGGAUGGACUCGCGGCUUAUCAGCUUGUUGGUGGGGUAGUGGCUUACCAAGGGUUUGACGGGUAGCCGGCCUGAGAGGGUGACCGGCCACAUUGGGACUGAGAUACGGACCAGACUCCUACGGGAGGCAGCAGUGGGGAAUAUUGCACAAUGGGCGGAAGCCUGAUGAAGAAACGCCGCGUGCGGGAUGACGGCCUUCGGGUUGUAAACCGCUUUCGCCUGUGACGAAGCGUGAGUGACGGUAAUGGGUAAAGAAGCACCGGCUAACUACGUG